This 169-nucleotide ribosomal RNA is filed under the name uncultured bacterium. Its description in RNAcentral is "partial 16S ribosomal RNA". It matches the Rfam family "Bacterial small subunit ribosomal RNA", at positions 1334 to 1500 of the family's 1533-position model. The record is from RNAcentral.
GCUAGUAAUCGCGAAUCAGAAUGUCGCGGUGAAUACGUUCCCGGGUCUUGUACACACCGCCCGUCACACCAUGGGAGUCAGUAACGCCCGAAGCCGGUGACCCAACCAAUUCAGGAGGGAGCCGUCGAAGGUGGGACCGAUAACUGGGGUGAAGUCGUAACAAGGUAGC